CCUACGGGAGGCAGCAGUGGGGAAUAUUGGACAAUGGGGGGAACCCUGAUCCAGCCAUGCCGCGUGUGUGAAGAAGGCCCUCGGGUUGUAAAGCACUUUCAGUGAGGAAGAACGCCUGGUGGUUAAUACCCAUCAGGAAAGACAUCACUCACAGAAGAAGCACCGGCUAACUCCGUGCCAGCAGCCGCGGUAAUACGGAGGGUGCGAGCGUUAAUCGGAAUUACUGGGCGUAAAGCGCGCGUAGGUGGCUUGAUAAGCCGGUUGUGAAAGCCCCGGGCUCAACCUGGGAACGGCAUCCGGAACUGUCAAGCUAGAGUGCAGGAGAGGAAGGUAGAAGUCCCGGUGUAGCGGUGAAAUGCGUAGAGAUCGGGAGGAAUACCAGUGGCGAAGGCGGCCUUCUGGACUGACACUGACACUGAGGUGCGAAAGCGUGGGUAGCAAACAGGAUUAGAUACCCUAGUAGUC
RNAcentral lists this ribosomal RNA (465 nucleotides) under Vreelandella stevensii. RNAcentral's name for it is "partial 16S ribosomal RNA". It matches the Rfam family "Bacterial small subunit ribosomal RNA", at positions 338 to 795 of the family's 1533-position model. The record is from RNAcentral. Lineage: Bacteria; Pseudomonadati; Pseudomonadota; Gammaproteobacteria; Oceanospirillales; Halomonadaceae.